AAUGAACGCUGGCGGCGUGCCUAACACAUGCAAGUCGGAUGUGCCCGCAAGGGUGCAUGGCAGACGGGUGAGUAACGCGUGGGGAAUCUACCUUUUAGUGGGGAAUAACGCUCCGAAAGGAGUGGUAAUACCGCAUGUGACCAUUGGCUGGGAUGCUGAUGGUGAAACCCUGGGACCUUCGGGCCAGGGGCUAGAAGAGGAUCCUGCGUCUGAUUAGCUAGUUGGUGGGGUAACGGCCUACCAAGGCGACGAUCAGUAGCCGGCCUGAGAGGGUGAUCGGCCACACUGGAACUGAGACACGGUCCAGACUCCUACGGGAGGCAGCAGUGGGGAAUUUUGCGCAAUGGACGAAAGUCUGACGCAGCAACGCCGCGUGGGUGAUGAAGGUCUUCGGAUUGUAAAACCCUGUCGCCGGGGACGAAGGUGGUUCAGUGAAUAGCUGAGUCGCUUGACGGUACCCGGAAAGGAAGCCCCGGCUAACUCUGUGCCAGCAGCCGCGGU
This 501-nucleotide ribosomal RNA is filed under the name uncultured bacterium. RNAcentral describes it as "bacterial SSU rRNA". It matches the Rfam family "Bacterial small subunit ribosomal RNA", at positions 28 to 521 of the family's 1533-position model. The record is from RNAcentral.